GAGAAUGUGGCUUAGUGGUAGAGUGCUUGCCUAGCAUGCAUGAAGCCCUGGGUUCAAUUCCUCAGUACCAUUA
Molecule: non-coding RNA, 73 nt
Organism: Dipodomys ordii (Ord's kangaroo rat)
Lineage: Eukaryota; Metazoa; Chordata; Mammalia; Rodentia; Heteromyidae
Source: Rfam